AUCGCGAUUAGUCGGACGACUGACCCGGUUGAUAUCCCAAUCCAACCGGUGGGUGUUGUGAGAUUGAGUUUGAGUAUUGCGUUGGCAUGGUGAGGCGCAGGUUGAUGUCCCAAUCCAACUGGCCGGUGUUGUUUUAUUUGUUGUUUGCUCAGUCUGAGUUUAUUCUCCUUUUUAAUAUAAUCGGUAGCUCUCCUGCCUGGUUUGUUAAAAAAAAAGAAUCAGACACAUAUGUUGACUAGCUGCAGAAAGUUCAUGAUGUAAUUUAGUGUAGCAAGAUGCAAAAAUCCUCUUCGAAUAAAACUGAUUCAUUUUGUUAAUUAGUUAGUAAUUUGUGCUACUGAUUUCAGAAAGAAAAUCUUCAUUUGGCUCGAUUUAGCUAUACUCAAUUAAAUUGACUGUUUAUAAGGAGUUCCAUGUUUGUCAUGUACACUCAGGAUUUAGUUUCCAAAUUAUGCUCAUUUCGUAUCUAUGUUUUUGUUUCAGAAUUUUGGUUCUGUUGAUUGUUUUGUAUUGGUUGAUAUCUUCAAUAAAAAUAGAAGGGGAGAUGGUGAAAAAACUGAAAAGAUAAUAGCAUGGAGAACGGGUCAGUGCUUCACGCAACUCAAAGGGCUCCAAGAGAUGCAGUCAUAAACAUCGGUGGGAUGAAUUUGGUCCAUGUGGUUUCGAGUGUUUAAGACAGAACCAAGCAGUAUCUGGAGACUUUUAGAAGUGGAUCAUGGGUAAACUUUCAGACAUUUCUCGGACUAAUCAAAUGUGGAAGAAACUUCAAAGACUUAUAGCUGGAACUGCUUUUACUUUAGGUUUGGGGCUUUGGGCAACUUGAAAAGCGUUGAUAUGUUUGUCAGUUGGAAUAGGUGGUACCUUUCUUGGGUCUCUAUUUGUGCAUAGUGCACUCUAGGCUGAUUAACUAUAGAGUUCUUCAGUAUGCAUUCUGAACUGACAUGCCUAGAAAAUAUUGCCAAUUUUCAGAUCCAAGCGUGAGGACAAGCUAACAAACAUCUAUAAAUAUUAUGACGUCAGAUGAUAAGAUGUCUGAUAGGGCACGUUAAGUGUGCUAGACUGAUGUAUGAAUGAAACAUUCGCUUGGCAAGAUUGAAUUACCUGUUGUAUGAUGAAUUUAAGAUCAAUUGGUGGAUGUAACUAGCAGAAGGCCAGAUCAUCAUUUUCUGUCCUUUAUAUGGACAAAUAUAUGAACAUGUUUUCAUUUAUUACAUGUUAA
Panicum virgatum (switchgrass) is the source of this 1219-nucleotide long non-coding RNA. RefSeq lists it as uncharacterized. Lineage: Eukaryota; Viridiplantae; Streptophyta; Magnoliopsida; Poales; Poaceae. The record is from RefSeq and is a predicted model, not a curated record. The transcript has 2 exons.